Molecule: transfer RNA, 94 nt
Organism: Aspergillus wentii DTO 134E9
Lineage: Eukaryota; Fungi; Ascomycota; Eurotiomycetes; Eurotiales; Aspergillaceae
Rfam family: tRNA
About the family: Transfer RNA (tRNA) molecules are approximately 80 nucleotides in length. Their secondary structure includes four short double-helical elements and three loops (D, anti-codon, and T loops).
Source: Rfam
GCUCGUAUAGCUCAGUUGGUAGAGCGCAUGACUAGUAAUCACUGCAAAGUGAAUUGCAAUCAUGAGGUCCGCGGUUCAAAUCCGCGUGUGAGCA